GAUUAUUCGAUCCUUCGACUUAAAUUUUUUGGAUGCAGAGAGGAUCCGGUUCCCAUACAGAAAAAGGGAAGAAAAGAUAGAUCGGGAGCCAGCUGUCUAGUUCCUGGCGGGCACUUGGGACAUAAAAUCGAAAUUAAACAUAAAUCAACUUCGAUCGCACCGAAUGAUUCAGUUUUUCUAAUUUAACGGGUUUAAUUUGAAACGAACCGCAAGCUAAAUAAAUUUAAUUUCUCUUCUUAAUAUUUGAAACCGAUUCUAAACCGGACAACAUGAUAUACAAAAUAUUUAAUUUAGUUAGCAAAUUAAAUGUUGGCGUAUUGGUUAUUUGGUGAAGGUCAUACAUGGAUUUAAAUUUGGUGAAGGUCAACAUAAUUUACUACGGUUUCCACCCUCGAAUCGAACCGAACCGAACCACAAUAACCCCAACCACACUAAACUGUACCCAGCCCCGGUUCCUUUUAAGCUUUUUUUUUUUUUGGGUCGAGAUCCCGGUUCCUAUUAAGCUAAAACUAAACUGAGAAGGAAGAAGAAAUUAAAGGGGGGCGUAC
This 548-nucleotide long non-coding RNA is filed under the name Malus domestica (apple). RNAcentral describes it as "long non-coding RNA (MDOM_LNC008999)". The record is from RNAcentral. Lineage: Eukaryota; Viridiplantae; Streptophyta; Magnoliopsida; Rosales; Rosaceae.